Molecule: ribosomal RNA, 252 nt
Filed under: uncultured bacterium
Lineage: Bacteria
Description: partial 16S ribosomal RNA
Rfam family: Bacterial small subunit ribosomal RNA
Source: RNAcentral
UACGGGGGGGCAAGCGUUGUUCGGAAUUACUGGGCGUAAAGGGCUCGUAGGUGGCCAACUAAGUCAGACGUGAAAUCCCUCGGCUUAACCGGGGAACUGCGUCUGAUACUGGAUGGCUUGAGUUUGGGAGAGGGAUGCGGAAUUCCAGGUGUAGCGGUGAAAUGCGUAGAUAUCUGGAGGAACACCGGUGGCGAAGGCGGCAUCCUGGACCAACACUGACACUGAUGAGCGAAAGCCAGGGGAGCAAACGGG